RNAcentral lists this long non-coding RNA (320 nucleotides) under Elaeis guineensis (African oil palm). RNAcentral describes it as "long non-coding RNA (EGUI_LNC055604)". The record is from RNAcentral. Lineage: Eukaryota; Viridiplantae; Streptophyta; Magnoliopsida; Arecales; Arecaceae.
GUACCAGUUUCUUGCUGCUCCCUUCAAGGUAGACGGGAAAGCCCGGCACAAGAUGGCGUCAGGGGCACCGUGGAGCAGCAUCAUCGUUCGAAAGGCCUCCAGAUGAUCGACUGGGUCUGACGUCCCGUCGUAGCUUUCGAACUGAGGAAGCUUGAAAUUCGGCGGGAUUGGUUCCUGCAUAAUCAUUUGGGAGAAGGGAGGGUCAGUGCAGAUAUCCUCACCGUAAGCGGGAGGUGCAUGGUGGAGUUCUUCGAUCCGCCGGUUCAUCUCCUGGAGCUUCCGGUCCAGGAAGUCCUCUCGACUUCGAGUCUCGAGGGUCC